This 253-nucleotide ribosomal RNA is filed under the name uncultured bacterium. RNAcentral describes it as "partial 16S ribosomal RNA". It matches the Rfam family "Bacterial small subunit ribosomal RNA", at positions 524 to 776 of the family's 1533-position model. The record is from RNAcentral.
GACAGAGGGUGCAAACGUUGUUCGGAAUUACUGGGCGUAAAGGGUGCGUAGGUGGUUUGUUAAGUCUGCUGUGAAAUCCCCGGGCUCAACCUGGGAAUGGCAGUGGAUACUGGCAAGCUAGAGUGCGGUAGAGGGUAGUGGAAUUCCCGGUGUAGCAGUGAAAUGCGUAGAGAUCGGGAGGAACACCAGUGGCGAAGGCGGCUACCUGGACCAGCACUGACACUGAAGCACGAAAGCGUGGGGAGCAAACAGG